This 445-nucleotide ribosomal RNA is filed under the name uncultured bacterium. RNAcentral's name for it is "bacterial SSU rRNA". It matches the Rfam family "Bacterial small subunit ribosomal RNA", at positions 354 to 796 of the family's 1533-position model. The record is from RNAcentral.
GUAGGGAAUAUUGGGCAAUGGAGGCAACUCUGACCCAGCCAUGCCGCGUGCAGGAUGACGGCCCUCUGGGUUGUAAACUGCUUUUAUACGGGAAGAAAAAAUACUACGUGUAGUAUACUGACGGUACCGUAAGAAUAAGGAUCGGCUAACUCCGUGCCAGCAGCCGCGGUAAUACGGAGGAUCCAAGCGUUGUCCGGAUUUAUUGGGUUUAAAGGGUGCGUAGGCGAAUCUUUAAGUCAGUGGUGAAAGCCUGCAGCUUAACUGUAGAAUUGCCAUUGAAACUGAAGAUCUUGAAUGUGGUUAAAGUAGGCGGAAUGUAUCAUGUAGCGGUGAAAUGCUUAGAUAUGAUACAGAACACCGAUAGCGAAGGCAGCUUGCUGAACCAUUAUUGACGCUGAGGCACGAAAGCGUGGGGAGCGAACAGGAUUAGAUACCCUAGUAGUCC